Molecule: ribosomal RNA, 498 nt
Filed under: uncultured bacterium
Lineage: Bacteria
Description: partial 16S ribosomal RNA
Rfam family: Bacterial small subunit ribosomal RNA
Source: RNAcentral
GAUGAACGCUGGCGGCGUGCCUAAUACAUGCAAGUCGAGCGAACAGACGAGGAGCUUGCUCCUCUGACGUUAGCGGCGGACGGGUGAGUAACACGUGGAUAACCUACCUAUAAGACUGGGAUAACUUCGGGAAACCGGAGCUAAUACCGGAUAAUAUAUUGAACCGCAUGGUUCAAUAGUGAAAGACGGUUUUGCUGUCACUUAUAGAUGGAUCCGCGCCGCAUUAGCUAGUUGGUAAGGUAACGGCUUACCAAGGCGACGAUGCGUAGCCGACCUGAGAGGGGGGACGGGCACCCUGGAAACGGAACCCCGGCCAAGACCCCACGGGGGGGAAGAGGAAGGAAUUCUUCGAGAAGGGGGAAAAGCCGGCGGGGCCAACGCGGGGGGAGGAAUAAAGGUCUCGGAAUCAAAAAAUUUUUUUAUAGGGAAAAAAAAAUUUUGAAAUUACCUAUGCAGUUCUGGAGGUACCCAAAAAAGAAACCCCGGACAAACUCGGGC